AGCGAACGCUGGCGGCAGGCUUAACACAUGCAAGUCGAGCGGGCACUUUCGGGUGUCAGCGGCGGACGGGUGAGUAACGCGUGGGAACGUGCCCUCUGGUUCGGAAUAACUCAGGGAAACUUGAGCUAAUACCGGAUACGCCCUUUUGGGGAAAGGCUUGCUGCCGGAGGAUCGGCCCGCGUCUGAUUAGCUAGUUGGUGAGGUAACGGCUCACCAAGGCGACGAUCAGUAGCUGGGCUGCGCGGAGGGUCAGCCACACUGGGACUGAGACACGGCCCAGACUCCUACGGGAGGCAGCAGUGGGGAAUAUUGGACAAUGGGCGCAAGCCUGAUCCAGCCAUGCCGCGUGAGUGAUGAAGGCCUUAGGGUUGUAAAGCUCUUUUAUCCGGGACGAUAAUGACGGUACCGGAGGAAUAAGCCCCGGCUAACUUCGUG
Molecule: ribosomal RNA, 435 nt
Filed under: uncultured bacterium
Lineage: Bacteria
Description: partial 16S ribosomal RNA
Rfam family: Bacterial small subunit ribosomal RNA
Source: RNAcentral